RNAcentral lists this ribosomal RNA (329 nucleotides) under uncultured Serratia sp. RNAcentral's name for it is "bacterial SSU rRNA". It matches the Rfam family "Bacterial small subunit ribosomal RNA", at positions 1 to 346 of the family's 1533-position model. Lineage: Bacteria; Pseudomonadati; Pseudomonadota; Gammaproteobacteria; Enterobacterales; Yersiniaceae. The record is from RNAcentral.
CGCCCUUAGAGUUUGAUCAUGGCUCAGAUUGAACGCUGGCGGCAGGCUUAACACAUGCAAGUCGAGCGGUAGGGGAGCUUGCUCCCUACGAGCGGCGGACGGGUGAGUAAUGUCUGGGAAACUGCCUGAUGGAGGGGGAUAACUACUGGAAACGGUAGCUAAUACCGCAUAACGUCGCAAGACCAAAGAGGUUCGUCUUGCCAUCAGAUGUGCCCAGAUGGGAUUAGCUAGUAGGUGGGGUAAUGGCUCACCUAGGCGACGAUCCCUAGCUGGUCUGAGAGGAUGACCAGCCACACUGGAACUGAGACACGGUCCAGACUCCUACGGGA